CAACCUUUGGGAGGUGGAAACUCGUGAUUUCCUACAGCUAUUGCUUUGAAUAAAGCCACUCCACUUUCAUCUGUUUACUGCUUGCUUUGCAGGAGUAUACAGAGAGUGCCUUCUUUUCUGCAAGUAACCGUAUUUGUAAAACAACAAAGUGCAGAGGAGCCCAGCCAGAGAUUGCCCUUGUGCUACUACGCAGGAUGAAUUCCUGAGGAAGAAGAAUCUCAGAGACUGAUCAUGAGUAUUGUUCACACUAAGGCACUUCACAGACAUGUCCAACCUGCAAAUCUUGGACUUUUGGGGCUGGAUCCAGUUGCAAGUUCCAUGCUGAGGCUGUACCACAUUGCUGGCAGUGGAACUCUGUUGAUUCUGGUCUUAUGAAUACCCUGAAACCUCAGCGGUGGGAUGGUGUCAUCAAAGGAACAACUAGGCUGCUAGGCUGGCAUUGCUUGGACCCCUCCAAGGAAGCCAUUCCCUCAGCCCAGUGCUGUCCUGCUCUAGAGAAGUGGGACUUUUUGCAGAGACAUUCUCAUUUCCUGCUUCUGGACAAACCAGUCCUCACUUGUCCAGUUCAGAGGCCCUCAGCCCUUUGUGGAGAUGGCAUGCAGGUCAUAGGGCUAGAAGUAUGUAGAUACCUGAACUAGGCUGGAUUACAUACCUGACAUUACCCAUAAAAGCAAAAACAACUUCUACAUAAUUUCAUAUAUUCUCUGGGGGUUGUACUUUGAACAUUCCAGAGAAAUGCUGUAUGUCCACCUAAGUUUCUUAUAGCUUUGUAGGUCCACACACUGGACAUUUCCCAGUAAUUUUCUUUCACCAUGCAAGACACUUGGCUUCUUCCUUGGUUAUUGUUCUGUACCUUCCUUUGACAUCUGUGAGAAGACUCUCUCCCUCUCCCUUCUUAGUACAAUCUUUUACUGGUAGCUUUUUACAGAUGCCACGAUCAUUUAACUGCUGUACCAAGGUGGUGAACAAGAAAGCAAUAUUUAGGCAUGAAGUCCUACAGUGUGCAGCUACCAGUGCUCUCUUCAUCGGCCAACCACAACUUCCCUUCCUAUUGCCCACCUGGGAGGGAGCCACAGAACAGCCGGGGAGGAGAGUCCUGCCUGCAGUGAUGGGGAUAGGCGGGGCUGCAGCACGUCUUGCCCUGAGCACCCACCACUGAAAGUGAAUCCAUUGCACGUGGGUGUAAGUUGGUAAAUCCUGAUGGGAAAUAGAUUGAAAAGAUCCUUGGUUUUUUUUCAUUUGCUUUCUUUCCAACCAGUUUCCGCUCUUCUAGUUGCACUGCUGAAAUACUUCAAUGUCUUUUGAUGACGAGAAAGUAAGAGGUUGCAUGAAACAGCUAUUCUGCUCUGGGUUCCCUGCCCCUGAAUGGACUCUUCUGGGGGAACCUAUAUCACAGAAGAGGAGAGUUAUAAGAUCUCAUCUGUAUAGCUGAGGCUGAGUCCUGAUUUAGAAUUGGCUCUUAGCACAACUCAAGUCCUAAAAAUAGAUGACGUAUAUUUAUUCAUACUUUAACUGAAAUUAGCACGCCAAAACCAACUUUGUUGUAAAAGCAUAAAAAAAUGUAUUUCAUUUGCUGUGUGCCUUUGUCCUAUCUAUGUGCAAUUGAUUUCUGGUUUACAAAAGCAAAACUAAACAAAAAAACCCUAAUUUGAGCCAGUAUCAACACAAUUGUCCUGAUACAAUAUGUUCACAUCAAGGAAUCAAUUUAAAAGUGGUGUCGAAGACAGAAUAUGCUGAAAACUUUUCUUUUUUGUGACUUU
Molecule: long non-coding RNA, 1760 nt
Organism: Hirundo rustica (Barn swallow)
Lineage: Eukaryota; Metazoa; Chordata; Aves; Passeriformes; Hirundinidae
Exons: 3
Source: RefSeq, a predicted model, not a curated record